RNAcentral lists this unclassified non-coding RNA (151 nucleotides) under unidentified cloning vector. The record is from RNAcentral.
AACAACAGAGUGCCGCCUUCCAUGCCGCUGAUGCGGCAUAUCCUGGUAACGAUAUCUGAAUUGUUAUACAUGUGUAUAUACGUGGUAAUGACAAAAAUAGGACAAGUUAAAAAUUUACAGGCGAUGCAAUGAUUCAAACACGUAAUCAAUA